GACGAACGCUGGCGGCGUGCUUAACACAUGCAAGUCGAACGGAAAGGCCCUGCUGCUUUCUUGUGCCCGAGUGGCGAACGGAUGAGUAACUAACGAGUAACCAGCCCGCGACUCUGGGAUAACUUCAAGAAACUGGCGCUAACAACUGCUGCGUGCGCCUUCUUCAUGGCGUCGGUUGGAAAUUUUCGGCGGCUGGGGAUGGUCUCGCGGCUUAUCAGCUUGUUGGUGGGGUAGUGGCUUACCAAGGCUUUGACGGGUAGCCGGACUGAGAGGGUGACCGGCCACAGUGGGCCUGGGGUACGGGCCAGACUGCUACGGGAGGAAGCAGUGGAGAAUAUUCGACGAUGGGCGGAAGCCUGGAGCACCAACUCCGCGUGGGGGAUGUCGGCCAUCGGGUUGUAAACGGCUUUCGCCUGAGACGGAGAGUGAGUGACGGUAAUGGGUAAAGAAGCCACGGCUAACUACGUG
Molecule: ribosomal RNA, 468 nt
Filed under: uncultured bacterium
Lineage: Bacteria
Description: partial 16S ribosomal RNA
Rfam family: Bacterial small subunit ribosomal RNA
Source: RNAcentral